ACAUGCAGUCGAGCGGACAGAAGGGAGCUUGCUCCCGGAUGUUAGCGGCGGACGGGUGAGUAACACGUGGGUAACCUGCCUGUAAGACUGGGAUAACUCCGGGAAACCGGAGCUAAUACCGGAUAGUUCCUUGAACCGCAUGGUUCAAGGAUGAAAGACGGUUUCGGCUGUCACUUACAGAUGGACCCGCGGCGCAUUAGCUAGUUGGUGGGGUAAUGGCUCACCAAGGCGACGAUGCGUAGCCGACCUGAGAGGGUGAUCGGCCACACUGGGACUGAGACACGGCCCAGACUCCUACGGGAGGCAGCAGUAGGGAAUCUUCCGCAAUGGACGAAAGUCUGACGGAGCAACGCCGCGUGAGUGAUGAAGGUUUUCGGAUCGUAAAGCUCUGUUGUUAGGGAAGAACAAGUGCGAGAGUAACUGCUCGCACCUUGACGGUACCUAACCAGAAAGCCACGGCUAACUACGUGCCAGCAGCCGCGGUAAUACGUAGGUGGCAAGCGUUGUCCGGAAUUAUUGGGCGUAAAGGGCUCGCAGGCGGUUUCUUAAGUCUGAUGUGAAAGCCCCCGGCUCAACCGGGGAGGGUCAUUGGAAACUGGGAAACUUGAGUGCAGAAGAGGAGAGUGGAAUUCCACGUGUAGCGGUGAAAUGCGUAGAGAUGUGGAGGAACACCAGUGGCGAAGGCGACUCUCUGGUCUGUAACUGACGCUGAGGAGCGAAAGCGUGGGGAGCGAACAGGAUUAGAUACCCUGGUAGUCCACGCCGUAAACGAUGAGUGCUAAGUGUUAGGGGGUUUCCGCCCCUUAGUGCUGCAGCUAACGCAUUAAGCACUCCGCCUGGGGAGUACGGUCGCAAGACUGAAACUCAAAGGAAUUGACGGGGGCCCGCACAAGCGGUGGAGCAUGUGGUUUAAUUCGAAGCAACGCGAAGAACCUUACCAGGUCUUGACAUCCUCUGACAACCCUAGAGAUAGGGCUUUCCCUUCGGGGACAGAGUGACAGGUGGUGCAUGGUUGUCGUCAGCUCGUGU
Molecule: ribosomal RNA, 1029 nt
Filed under: Bacillus zhangzhouensis
Lineage: Bacteria; Bacillati; Bacillota; Bacilli; Caryophanales; Bacillaceae
Description: bacterial SSU rRNA
Rfam family: Bacterial small subunit ribosomal RNA
Source: RNAcentral